UGGCAUAACCCGGGAAACUGGGGAUACUCCGGCAUAGAUCAUAGAUGCUGGAAUGCGCUGUGAUCGAAAGCUUUUGUGCCUAAGGAUGGGUCUGCGGUCUAUCAGGUUGUAGUGGGUGUAACGUACCUACUAGCCUACGACGGAUACGGGUUGUGGGAGCAAGAGCCCGGAGAUGGAUUCUGAGACAUGGAUCCAGGCCCUACGGGGCGCAGCAGGCGCGAAAACUUUACAAUGCGGGAAACCGCGAUAAGGGGACACCGAGUGCCAGCAUCCUAUGUUGGCUGUCCAUAUGUAUAAAUCACAUGUGUAAGCAAGGGCCGGGCAAGACCGGUGCCAGCCGCCGCGGUAACACCGGCGGCCCGAGUGGUGGCCACUACUAUUGGGUCUAAAGGGUCCGUAGCCGGUUUGGUCAGUCUUCCGGGAAAUCUGACGGCUUAACCGUUAGGCUUUCGGGGGAUACUACCAGGCUUGGGACCGGGAGAGGUAAGAGGUACUACCGGGGGUAGGAGUGAAAUCUUGUAAUCCCCUGUGGGACCACCAGUGGCGAAGGCGUCUUACCAGAACGGGUCCGACGGUGAGGGACGAAAGCUGGGGGCACGAACCGGAUUAGAUACCCGGGUAGUCCCAGCUGUAAACUAUGCUGCUAGGUGUCAGGGACGGUGCGACCGUUUCUGGUGCCGCAGGGAAGCCGUGAAGCGAGCCACCUGGGAAGUACGGUCGCAAGGCUGAAACUUAAAGGAAUUGGCGAGGGAGCACUACAACGGGUGGAGCCUGCGGUUUAAUUGGACUCAACGCCGGAAAACUCACCGGGGGCGACAGCAAUAUGUAGGUCAAGCUAAAGACUUUAUCAGAAUCGCUGAGAGGAGGUGCAUGGCCGUCGUCAGUUCGUACUGUGAAGCAUCCUGUUAAGUCAGGCAACGAGCGAGACCCGUGCCCACUGUUGCCAGCAUGUCCUUCGGGAUGAUGGGUACUCUGUGGGGACCGCCGAUGCUAAAUCGGAGGAAGGUGCGGGCUACGGUAGGUCAGUAUGCCCCGAACCUCCCGGGCUACACGCGGGCUACAAUGGCCGGGACAAUGGGUCCCUACCCCGAAAGGGGAUGGUAAUCUCAUAAACCCGGCCGUAGUUCGGAUCGAGGGCUUAACCCGCCCUCGUGAAGCUGGAAUCCGUAGUAAUCGCGUUUCAAC
This 1185-nucleotide ribosomal RNA is filed under the name uncultured euryarchaeote. Its description in RNAcentral is "bacterial SSU rRNA". It matches the Rfam family "Archaeal small subunit ribosomal RNA", at positions 123 to 1309 of the family's 1478-position model. The record is from RNAcentral. Lineage: Archaea; Methanobacteriati; Methanobacteriota.